This 200-nucleotide unclassified non-coding RNA is filed under the name Trechispora sp. RNAcentral's name for it is "partial internal transcribed spacer 2". Lineage: Eukaryota; Fungi; Basidiomycota; Agaricomycetes; Trechisporales; Hydnodontaceae. The record is from RNAcentral.
UUAAGUUCAGCGGGUAGUCCUACCUGAUUUGAGGUCAGAUUUCAAAGUUUGUUUGCUUGACCGCCACUCUGGCAGCAGGUCGGGGGAGGGCGCAGAAGGGGAACUUCUCUGUCGAGCGAGGAUGGUACAACGCCCAGUCGAGUUCGACCCACAGGCCCAACCGAUGCAUUUGAGGGGAGCCGCCUCACGGCAGCAGAGCC